AGAUCCUCAAAAAAAUUAUGCUAAUGGAUCAAAGCAAUUAUCUAAGCUCUCCUUGAAGACCUAAUGAAGUGGAUUACUUACAGCAAGAAACUUCCUUAUAUCUGACCAAAACCUGCCUCUUGGGAACCUUUAACCAUUAUUCCUAGCCCACAUAAUAGCCUGUUCAAUAUUUAUCAUGGAUGACAUGUCUUAUUUUUCUUUACAUUUCAUUUCAUGAAUGGCCUAUCCUGAGUACUCUCCUGGUUCUCAAUAUCCUUUCAAAAAUGUCAUUCUCAAGGUUGAAUACAAUACUCUAGAUUGGGUCUAGCAGCAGAAGGAGAACUGAAGAGUUUUCCAUUCAUUAGCCCAGGGCAAUAUACCUUUUUUAAAGCAGCUUAAAAUUUGUAUUAAUUUCCUUGACUACCAAACAUUCAGAUCUUUUUCACAUGAACUAUUAAUAGUACCUCCUCUUGUGAUGAUGAUUUUUGAACAUAAGUGUAAAAUUUUCCCACUUUUACACUCAUCUAUUAGAUUUGGCCCAAUAAUCUUGUCUAACAAGAUCUUUUUGAAUCCUGAGUGUCCUUCAAGAUAUUAGAUUUCCUAUGUCUCUCAACAUCAUAUGAUGCCCAAAUCUGGUUCCUUAAAGAGUCAUUAUUGCUUCACCUACUCUGGAAUCUAGCCUUUUUAGUCCAAAGGCUAGUCUUUGAGCUUAGCUUUAUUGAUUGCAUGGAUCCUGGAAGAUGUUAAGGAAGAGUGAAAUAAGAAUUUUAACUUUUCAAAACUGAACUGGAAAUUCAGGGACAAGGAAUUUCAGGUCUUAAUUUUCUUUUGUGGAUUCAUUCAGGUCCGGUUGUACCUACAUUGUAACUCCAGAGGCUAAGAAGCAGGAUGGUAGAAGAUAUGAUGUCCUGAUACAACUGCUGAAAUAUAUUUUUAAACAUAAUUUUAUUUGUUUUGUUAAAUUUCCCCAAAUACUUGUAAAUGUUUUAAGUAUUCUUUUUUUUAAAAUGUUGAGGCCAAAGUUCUCUUUCUUCCUUUUACACCUCCCUUGCCACUUGAGAAGGCAAGAAAUGUCAAUUACACAUGUGAAGUCAUAGA
RNAcentral lists this long non-coding RNA (1077 nucleotides) under Monodelphis domestica (gray short-tailed opossum). RNAcentral's name for it is "lncRNA (ENSMODG00000040091.1)". Lineage: Eukaryota; Metazoa; Chordata; Mammalia; Didelphimorphia; Didelphidae. The record is from RNAcentral.